RNAcentral lists this non-coding RNA (20 nucleotides) under Arabidopsis thaliana (thale cress). The record is from RNAcentral. Lineage: Eukaryota; Viridiplantae; Streptophyta; Magnoliopsida; Brassicales; Brassicaceae.
UAGUAAGCGGUGUUCGUAGC